This 468-nucleotide ribosomal RNA is filed under the name uncultured bacterium. Its description in RNAcentral is "partial 16S ribosomal RNA". It matches the Rfam family "Bacterial small subunit ribosomal RNA", at positions 28 to 507 of the family's 1533-position model. The record is from RNAcentral.
GACGAACGCUGGCGGCGUGCUUAACACAUGCAAGUCGAACGGAAAGGCCCUGCUUUUGUGGGGUGCUCGAGUGGCGAACGGGUGAGUAACACGUGAGUAACCUGCCCUUGACUUUGGGAUAACUUCAGGAAACUGGGGCUAAUACCGGAUAGGAGCUCCUGCUGCAUGGUGGUGGUUGGAAAGUUUCGGCGGUUGGGGAUGGACUCGCGGCUUAUCAGCUUGUUGGUGGGGUAGUGGCUUACCAAGGCAUUGACGGGUAGCCGGCCUGAGAGGGUGACCGGCCACAUUGGGACUGAGAUACGGCCCAGACUCCUACGGGAGGCAGAAGUGGGGAAUAUUGCACAAUGGGCGGAAGCCUGAUGCAGCAACGCCGCGUGCGGGAUGACGGCCUUCGGGUUGUAAACCGCUUUCGCCUGUGACGAAGCGUGAGUGACGGUAAUGGGUAAAGAAGCACCGGCUAACUACGUG